GCUAGGGGGACAGCUUUGGGUGAGGGAACCGGAAGUGACGUGUGUUCGCCCGAUGUUACGAAACUGAGUUUAAUACAUGUGCUUCCAGAGUUAUGCCAAUUAAAGACAAUGAGGAAAUUUGGCACCGGCACAUUUCGAUUCCUGACUCCUGUCUCUCUCCGUGGCAAGCUCUCCGAAGAGGGAGAGCACUGGCGAAGAAGAGGAUGAAUUGGAGUCCAGUGCAUCACAGCACGUGAAAAGGAUAGCAAAUUGAUAACUUCGGAACGUGUUCAAGCAAAAUGACCAAUGAAUUGAAGCAAAAUGUCUGCCAAAAAUAUUUAAAAGCUUGACAAUCUAUUACAUCAUCUCACUACUCUAUGAUUUUGGAAAUAUUACAGAAUGCUAUUUUCUCUCAUUAAAAUAGAUGUUACAAAAAUG
This is a long non-coding RNA of Hippocampus zosterae (dwarf seahorse), 417 nucleotides long. RefSeq lists it as uncharacterized. NCBI's taxonomy places the organism in Eukaryota, Metazoa, Chordata, Actinopteri, Syngnathiformes, Syngnathidae. The record is from RefSeq and is a predicted model, not a curated record. The transcript has 4 exons.